AACGAACGCUGGCGGCAUGCCUAACACAUGCAAGUCGAACGAGACCUUCGGGUCCAGUGGCGCACGGGUGUGUAACGCGUGGGAACCUGACCUUAGGUUCGGAAUAACUCUCCGAAAGGGGUGCUAAUACCGGAUAAUGUCUUCGGACCAAAGAUUUAUCGCCUUUGGAUGGGCCCGCGUUGGAUUAGCUAGUUGGUAGGGUAAAAGCCUACCAAGGCGACGAUCCAUAGCUGGUCUGAGAGGAUGAUCAGCCACACUUGGGAUGAGACACGGCCCAGACUCCUACGGGAGGCAGCAGUGGGGAAUAUUGGACAAUGGGCGAAAGCCUGAUCCAGCAAUGCCGCGUGAGUGAUGAAGGCCUUAGGGUUGUAAAGCUCUUUUACCCGGGAUGAUAAUGACGGUACCGAGAGAAUAAGCUCCGGCUAACUCCGUG
This 433-nucleotide ribosomal RNA is filed under the name uncultured bacterium. RNAcentral describes it as "partial 16S ribosomal RNA". It matches the Rfam family "Bacterial small subunit ribosomal RNA", at positions 29 to 507 of the family's 1533-position model. The record is from RNAcentral.